This 492-nucleotide ribosomal RNA is filed under the name uncultured bacterium. Its description in RNAcentral is "partial 16S ribosomal RNA". It matches the Rfam family "Bacterial small subunit ribosomal RNA", at positions 29 to 507 of the family's 1533-position model. The record is from RNAcentral.
AGUGAACGCUGGCGGUAGGCCUAACACAUGCAAGUCGAACGGCAGCACAGUAAGAGCUUGCUCUUACGGGUGGCGAGUGGCGGACGGGUGAGGCAUACAUCGGAAUCUACUUUUUCGUGGGGGAUAACGUAGGAAAACUUACGCUAAUACCGCAUACGACCUACGGGUGAAAGCAGGGGAUCUUCGGACCUUGCGCGAUUGAAUGAGCCGAUGUCGGAUUAGCUAGUUGGCGGGGUAAAGGCCCACCAAGGCGACGAUCCGUAGCUGGUCUGAGAGGAUGAUCAGCCACACUGGAACUGAGACACGGUCCAGACUCCUACGGGAGGCAGCAGUGGGGAAUAUUGGACAAUGGGCGCAAGCCUGAUCCAGCCAUACCGCGUGGGUGAAGAAGGCCUUCGGGUUGUAAAGCCCUUUUGUUGGGAAAGAAAAGCAGCAGGUUAAUACCCCGCUGUUCUGACGGUACCCAAAGAAUAAGCACCGGCUAACUUCGUG